GACGAACGCUGGCGGCGUGCUUAACACAUGCAAGUCGAACGGAAAGGCCCUGCUUUUGUGGGGUGCUCGAGUGGCGAACGGGUGAGUAACACGUGAGUAACCUGCCCUUGACUUUGGGAUAACUUCAGGAAACUGGGGCUAAUACCGGAUAGGAGCUCCUGCUGCAUGGUGGGGGUUGGAAAGUUUCGGCGGUUGGGGAUGGACUCGCGGCUUACCAGCUUGUUGGUGGGGUAGUGGCUUACCAAGGCUUUGACGGGUAGCCGGCCUGAGAGGGUGACCAGCCACAUUGGGACUGAGAUACGGCCCAGACUCCUACGGGAGGCAGCAGUGGGGAAUAUUGCACAAUGGGCGGAAGCCUGAUGCAGCAACGCCGCGUGCGGGAUGACGGCCUUCGGGUUGUAAACCGCUUUCGCCUGUGACGAAGCGUGAGUGACGGUAAUGGGUAAAGAAGCACCGGCUAACUACGUG
This 468-nucleotide ribosomal RNA is filed under the name uncultured bacterium. Its description in RNAcentral is "partial 16S ribosomal RNA". It matches the Rfam family "Bacterial small subunit ribosomal RNA", at positions 28 to 507 of the family's 1533-position model. The record is from RNAcentral.